RNAcentral lists this ribosomal RNA (442 nucleotides) under uncultured bacterium. RNAcentral's name for it is "partial 16S ribosomal RNA". It matches the Rfam family "Bacterial small subunit ribosomal RNA", at positions 338 to 795 of the family's 1533-position model. The record is from RNAcentral.
CCUACGGGAGGCAGCAGUGGGGAAUAUUGGGCAAUGGGCGCAAGCCUGACCCAGCAACGCCGCGUGAAGGAAGAAGGCUUUCGGGUUGUAAACUUCUUUUGUCAGGGAAGAGUAGAAGACGGUACCUGACGAAUAAGCCACGGCUAACUACGUGCCAGCAGCCGCGGUAAUACGUAGGUGGCAAGCGUUGUCCGGAUUUACUGGGUGUAAAGGGCGGGUAGGCGGGUUGACAAGUCAGAUGUGAAAUCCUGCGGCUUAACCGCAGAACUGCAUUUGAAACUGUUGAUCUUGAGUACUGGAGAGGCAGAUAGAAUUCCUAGUGUAGCGGUGAAAUGCGUAGAUAUUAGGAGGAACACCAGUGGCGAAGGCGGUCUGCUGGACAGCGACUGACGGUGAGGCGCGAAAGCGUGGGGAGCAAACAGGAUUAGAUACCCGAGUAGUC